This 50-nucleotide transfer RNA is filed under the name Centaurea calcitrapa. RNAcentral's name for it is "partial tRNA-Leu". RNAcentral also lists the same sequence under 44 other names. The record is from RNAcentral. Lineage: Eukaryota; Viridiplantae; Streptophyta; Magnoliopsida; Asterales; Asteraceae.
GUCGAUUUAAAAAAUCGUGAGGGUUCAAGUCCCUCUAUCCCCAAAAAGAC